RNAcentral lists this ribosomal RNA (253 nucleotides) under uncultured bacterium. RNAcentral's name for it is "partial 16S ribosomal RNA". It matches the Rfam family "Bacterial small subunit ribosomal RNA", at positions 524 to 776 of the family's 1533-position model. The record is from RNAcentral.
UACGAAGGGGGCUAGCGUUGCUCGGAAUCACUGGGCGUAAAGGGCGCGUAGGCGGCCAUUUAAGUCGGGGGUGAAAGCCUGUGGCUCAACCACAGAAUUGCCUUCGAUACUGGAUGGCUUGAGACCGGAAGAGGUAAGUGGAACUGCGAGUGUAGAGGUGAAAUUCGUAGAUAUUCGCAAGAACACCAGUGGCGAAGGCGGCUUACUGGUCCGGAUCUGACGCUGAGGCGCGAAAGCUAGGGGAGCAAACGGG